This 576-nucleotide ribosomal RNA is filed under the name uncultured bacterium. RNAcentral describes it as "bacterial SSU rRNA". It matches the Rfam family "Bacterial small subunit ribosomal RNA", at positions 102 to 694 of the family's 1533-position model. The record is from RNAcentral.
ACGGGUGAGUAACGCGUGGUCAACCUUCCGUUGAAUGGGGGAUAACUAGCCGAAAGGUUAGCUAAUACCGCAUACGAUCUUUCGAAGGCAUCUUUGAAAGAUGAAAGGAGCAAUUCGUUCAACGACGGGACCGCGUCCCAUUAGCUAGAUGGUGGGGUGAUGGCCUACCAUGGCAACGAUGGGUAGCUGGUUUGAGAGAGCGACCAGCCACACUGGGACUGAGAGACGGCCCAGACUCCUACGGGAGGCAGCAGUGAGGAAUUUUCCGCAAUGGGCGAAAGCCUGACGGAGCGACGCCGCGUGUGGGAAGAAGGCCUUCGGGUCGUAAACCACUGUCGAAGGGGACGAUAAUGACGGUACCCUUGGAGGAAGCCCCGGCUAACUACGUGCCAGCAGCCGCGGUAAGACGUAGGGGGCAAGCGUUGUUCGGAAUUAUUGGGCGUAAAGCGCUCGUAGGCGGGAUUGGAAGUCCGUGUUGAAAGACCUCGGCUCAACUGAGGGACCGGCUCGGAUACUCUAAUUCUUGAGGCAAUCAGAGGAUGAUGGAAUUCCCGGUGUAGCGGUGAAAUGCGUAGA